Molecule: ribosomal RNA, 102 nt
Filed under: uncultured bacterium
Lineage: Bacteria
Description: partial 16S ribosomal RNA
Rfam family: Bacterial small subunit ribosomal RNA
Source: RNAcentral
GGGGCGACGGCCCACCAAGGCGACGAUGUCUAGGGGUUCUGAGAGGAAGGUCCCCCCACACUGGUACUGAGACACGGACCAGACUCCUACGGGAGGCAGCAG